This 245-nucleotide ribosomal RNA is filed under the name uncultured Gemmata sp. RNAcentral's name for it is "partial 16S ribosomal RNA". It matches the Rfam family "Bacterial small subunit ribosomal RNA", at positions 524 to 768 of the family's 1533-position model. The record is from RNAcentral. Lineage: Bacteria; Pseudomonadati; Planctomycetota; Planctomycetia; Gemmatales; Gemmataceae.
GACGAACCGUGCGAACGUUGUUCGGAAUCACUGGGCUUAAAGGGCGCGUAGGCGGGUGAUCAAGUCCGGGGUGAAAUCUUUCGGCUCAACCGGAAAACAGCCUUGGAUACUGGUCGUCUUGAGGGAGGUAGGGGCAUGUGGAACUUCCGGUGGAGCGGUGAAAUGUGUUGAUAUCGGAAGGAACGCCGGUGGCGAAAGCGACGUGCUGGAUCUCUUCUGACGCUGAGGCGCGAAAGCUAGGGGAG